Neodiprion fabricii is the source of this 370-nucleotide long non-coding RNA. RefSeq lists it as uncharacterized. Lineage: Eukaryota; Metazoa; Arthropoda; Insecta; Hymenoptera; Diprionidae. The transcript has 2 exons. The record is from RefSeq and is a predicted model, not a curated record.
UCAACAGUCCAUUUGUGUUGGGCUUUCCAAUCACACUGAGUUUCUCGUAUCACUACAGGCAAAAUCCAGCAGCUUGAGGGAUUACCUGGGAGAUGACACUAGUAGUGACGUGCCUACGUGACAAGAGCCAUGCAAUGGGUUCCGUGUCGAAUCGUCUCCUCCCUGCAGUUGGGAGUUUGGGACAGCUGAGCUUUUUCAUCUAUAAUUGACAGGCGGCCGAGGUUAAGAAAUAGUUCACAAUGAAGCUCGAAUUUUUUGCCCCCUCUUCAAAGGGCGAGAAACCCAUAGCUACCCAUACAUUAUUAUUGUAUAUAUAAAAGAUAACUGAUAAUAAUAAUUGCAAAUCUGAAAUAUACUGAGAUAAACUUCA